This 495-nucleotide ribosomal RNA is filed under the name uncultured bacterium. RNAcentral's name for it is "partial 16S ribosomal RNA". It matches the Rfam family "Bacterial small subunit ribosomal RNA", at positions 28 to 507 of the family's 1533-position model. The record is from RNAcentral.
GAUGAACGCUGGCGGCGUGCCUAAUACAUGCAAGUAGAACGCUGAAGGAGGAGCUUGCUCUUCUGGAUGAGUUGCGAACGGGUGAGUAACGCGUAGGUAACCUGCCUGGUAGCGGGGGAUAACUAUUGGAAACGAUAGCUAAUACCGCAUGACAACAGUUAUUGCAUGAUAACUGUUUAAAAGGGGCAACUGCUCCACUACCAGAUGGACCUGCGUUGUAUUAGCUAGUUGGUGAGGUAACGGCUCACCAAGGCGACGAUACAUAGCCGACCUGAGAGGGUGGUCGGCCACACUGGGACUGAGACACGGCCCAGACUCCUACGGGAGGCAGCAGUAGGGAAUCUUCGGCAAUGGACGGAAGUCUGACCGAGCAACGCCGCGUGAGUGAAGAAGGUUUUCGGAUCGUAAAGCUCUGUUGUAAGAGAAGAACGAGUGUGAGAGUGGAAAGUACACACUGUGACGGUAUCUUACCAGAAAGGGACGGCUAACUACGUG